Homo sapiens (human) is the source of this 131-nucleotide long non-coding RNA. RefSeq lists it as uncharacterized. Lineage: Eukaryota; Metazoa; Chordata; Mammalia; Primates; Hominidae. The record is from RefSeq and is a predicted model, not a curated record. The transcript is spliced from 3 exons.
GGCUUGUCUAGGGAUCUAUUUUAUCAUUCAUUCAGACAUUUCAAAUAUUUGAGCACCUGCUAUGGACAGAAGAGAAUAGAGAGGGAUGAGCCAAACCUGAAGUGCAACAAUGGGUAAAGCUGCUGUUUUGU